RNAcentral lists this ribosomal RNA (435 nucleotides) under uncultured bacterium. RNAcentral's name for it is "bacterial SSU rRNA". It matches the Rfam family "Bacterial small subunit ribosomal RNA", at positions 28 to 455 of the family's 1533-position model. The record is from RNAcentral.
GAUGAACGCUAGCUACAGGCUUAACACAUGCAAGUCGAGGGGCAGCGGGGUUGUAGCAAUACGACUGCCGGCGACCGGCGCACGGGUGAGUAACACGUAUCCAACCUUCCGGCUACUCGGGAAUAGCCUUUCGAAAGAAAGAUUAAUGCCCGAUGGUAUACCAGGUCCGCAUGGACCUGUUAUUAAAGAUUUAUCGGUAACCGAUGGGGAUGCGUUCCAUUAGGCAGUUGGCGGGGUAACGGCCCACCAAACCUACGAUGGAUAGGGGUUCUGAGAGGAAGGUCCCCCACAUUGGAACUGAGACACGGUCCAAACUCCUACGGGAGGCAGCAGUGAGGAAUAUUGGUCAAUGGGCGAGAGCCUGAACCAGCCAAGUAGCGUGAAGGAUGACUGCCCUAUGGGUUGUAAACUUCUUUUAUACGGGAAUAACAAGCG